AUGCUCGCUUUGGCAGCACAUAUACUAAAAAUUAGAACGAUACAGAGAAGAUUAGCAUGGUCCCUGAGCAAGGAUGACACGUAAAUUCAUAAAGCGUUCCAUAUUUUU
Small nuclear RNA from Rattus norvegicus (Norway rat), 108 nucleotides. NCBI's taxonomy places the organism in Eukaryota, Metazoa, Chordata, Mammalia, Rodentia, Muridae. The record is from Ensembl.